RNAcentral lists this non-coding RNA (63 nucleotides) under Schistosoma curassoni. The record is from RNAcentral. Lineage: Eukaryota; Metazoa; Platyhelminthes; Trematoda; Strigeidida; Schistosomatidae.
ACUUAGCUGCUGAGUCCUGAUAGCCACUUUCUUGUGCAAUAGGACGAAACGCGCGUCCUGGAU